GUGGGGAAUAUUGGACAAUGGGCGCAAGCCUGAUCCAGCCAUGCCGCGUGAGUGAUGAAGGCCCUAGGGUUGUAAAGCUCUUUCACCGGAGAAGAUAAUGACGGUAUCCGGAGAAGAAGCCCCGGCUAACUUCGUGCCAGCAGCCGCGGUAAUACGAAGGGGGCUAGCGUUGUUCGGAAUUACUGGGCGUAAAGCGCACGUAGGCGGAUAUUUAAGUCAGGGGUGAAAUCCCGGAGCUCAACUCCGGAACUGCCUUUGAUACUGGGUAUCUCGAGUAUGGAAGAGGUGAGUGGAAUUCCGAGUGUAGAGGUGAAAUUCGUAGAUAUUCGGAGGAACACCAGUGGCGAAGGCGGCUCACUGGUCCAUUACUGACGCUGAGGUGCGAAAGCGUGGGGAGCAAACAGGAUUAGAAACCCGAGUAGUCC
This 425-nucleotide ribosomal RNA is filed under the name uncultured bacterium. RNAcentral describes it as "bacterial SSU rRNA". It matches the Rfam family "Bacterial small subunit ribosomal RNA", at positions 354 to 796 of the family's 1533-position model. The record is from RNAcentral.